CACAAGCGGUGGAGCAUGUGGUUAAUUCGAAGCAACGCGAAGAACCUUACCAGGUCUUGACAUCCCGAUGCUAUUUCUAGAGAUAGAAAGUUACUUCGGUACAUCGGUGACAGGUGGUGCAUGGUUGUCGUCAGCUCGUGUCGUGAGAUGUUGGGUUAAGUCCCGCAACGAGCGCAACCCCGCCGUUAGUUGCCAGCGGUUCGGCCGGGCACUCUAACGGGACUGCCCGCGAAAGCGGGAGGAAGGAGGGGACGACGUCUGGUCAGCAUGGCCCUUACGGCCUGGGCGACACACGUGCUACAAUGCCCACUACAAAGCGAUGCCACCCGGCAACGGGGAGCUAAUCGCAAAAAGGUGGGCCCAGUUCGGAUUGGGGUCUGCAACCCGACCCCAUGAAGCCGGAAUCGCUAGUAAUCGCGGAUCAGCCAUGCCGCGGUGAAUACGUUCCCGGGCCUU
This 456-nucleotide ribosomal RNA is filed under the name uncultured Thermus sp. RNAcentral's name for it is "bacterial SSU rRNA". It matches the Rfam family "Bacterial small subunit ribosomal RNA", at positions 924 to 1382 of the family's 1533-position model. Lineage: Bacteria; Thermotogati; Deinococcota; Deinococci; Thermales; Thermaceae. The record is from RNAcentral.